ACGAUUGCGAUGAGAAAGUUGAGUAAUAACUGAUAUCAAACAAAGCGAGCUUCGUCUGGUGAAAGGAAGUGCUGAUUAGGUUAUGAAAACCCCUUUCGAGCGAUGUACUGAACAAAAAGUAAAGUGCAUGGGGAGCGCCCCUUACAGCGUCAGCGUAUGUUAGUACGUCAAGGUAGCUUUUUUAAGCUACGAAUGUAAGGUGGUACCGUGUCGAAUGACGCCCUUAGU
This 228-nucleotide non-coding RNA is filed under the name Apilactobacillus kunkeei. Its description in RNAcentral is "T-box". It matches the Rfam family "T-box leader". From Rfam's summary of the family: Uncharged tRNA acts as the effector for transcription antitermination of genes in the T-box leader family. The record is from RNAcentral. Lineage: Bacteria; Bacillati; Bacillota; Bacilli; Lactobacillales; Lactobacillaceae.